RNAcentral lists this ribosomal RNA (1143 nucleotides) under Carnobacterium sp. Its description in RNAcentral is "bacterial SSU rRNA". It matches the Rfam family "Bacterial small subunit ribosomal RNA", at positions 79 to 1133 of the family's 1533-position model. The record is from RNAcentral. Lineage: Bacteria; Bacillati; Bacillota; Bacilli; Lactobacillales; Carnobacteriaceae.
GGGGCGAGUACGUAGCGAUCUGCAGUCGACGCUUUUAGAUUUCACCGGGUGCUUGCACCCACCGAGACAAAAGAGUGGCGGACGGGUGAGUAACACGUGGGUAACCUGCCCAUAAGAGGGGGAUAACAUCCGGAAACGGAUGCUAAUACCGCAUAUUUCCAAUUGUCUCCUGACAGAUGGAAAAAAGGUGGCUUCGGCGACCGCUUAUGGAUGGACCCGCGGCGUAUUAGCUAGUUGGUGAGGUAAUGGCUCACCAAGGCGAUGAUACGUAGCCGACCUGAGAGGGUGAUCGGCCACACUGGGACUGAGACACGGCCCAGACUCCUACGGGAGGCAGCAGUAGGGAAUCUUCCGCAAUGGACGAAAGUCUGACGGAGCAAUGCCGCGUGAGUGAAGAAGGUUUUCGGAUCGUAAAACUCUGUUGUUAGAGAAGAACAAGGAUGAGAGUAACUGCUCAUCCCCUGACGGUAUCUAACCAGAAAGCCACGGCUAACUACGUGCCAGCAGCCGCGGUAAUACGUAGGUGGCAAGCGUUGUCCGGAUUUAUUGGGCGUAAAGCGAGCGCAGGCGGUUCUUUAAGUCUGAUGUGAAAGCCCCCGGCUCAACCGGGGAGGGUCAUUGGAAACUGGAGAACUUGAGUGCAGAAGAGGAGAGUGGAAUUCCACGUGUAGCGGUGAAAUGCGUAGAUAUGUGGAGGAACACCAGUGGCGAAGGCGACUCUCUGGUCUGUAACUGACGCUGAGGCUCGAAAGCGUGGGGAGCAAACAGGAUUAGAUACCCUGGUAGUCCACGCCGUAAACGAUGAGUGCUAAGUGUUGGAGGGUUUCCGCCCUUCAGUGCUGCAGCUAACGCAUUAAGCACUCCGCCUGGGGAGUACGACCGCAAGGUUGAAAACUCAAAGGAAUUGACGGGGACCCGCACAAGCGGUGGAGCAUGGUGGGUUUAUUUCGAAGCAACGCCGAAGAACCCUUACCAGGGUCUUUGACAUCCCUUUGACCACUCUAGAGAUAGGAACUUUUCCCUUUCGGGGACAAAGUGACAGGUGAUGCCAUCUGUCGUCCAGCUCGUGUCGUGAGAUGUUUGGGAUAAGUCCGGCACCGAAGCGCCAAACCCCUUAUUUUAUUUUAGGAUUGGGCCAAGGCA